Cajanus cajan (pigeon pea) is the source of this 567-nucleotide long non-coding RNA. RefSeq lists it as uncharacterized. The record is from RefSeq and is a predicted model, not a curated record. NCBI's taxonomy places the organism in Eukaryota, Viridiplantae, Streptophyta, Magnoliopsida, Fabales, Fabaceae.
UGGAGACAUGGGAAACAGAUGAAUAUCUGAGACUGAGAGUCACUUGCAUAAGAAAAACAAGUGUUAUAAAAGAUGGAAAGAUAGACCUCAAAUUAACAAGAGAUAUGCCUCCACCGCCAGGGCCUCCCGGCGGUAUAUGCAGCUGCAUAUGUAACCUUCUAUCUUCUUGUUUGUAUUGCCUGUGUUGCUGCUGUCUCCUGGAGUGCUGUUGUGGGCCAAUGUUUGGUGGACCUCCUGGGCCACCUGGGCCUGGCUUCUGAUCAACAUAGAUGCUUGAGUUCGACGAGGAAAUAAAAGAACGUCAAUCAGUCUGUGUGAGAUGGUUGUUUACUGGCAACCGCUUUAUGCUUCUACCAUAUUUAUUUCAAGGACACUUCGUGCUACUUCUUAUGUAUGAGUUCUAUUCUUUUGUUUCCCAGAGCAUUCCUAUGUGUUUUCAAUCAAUCGUACUAAGGCUGAAUGUAAAAGCUAUAGCUGAUAACUGCCUCGUGAGUUGCUGUGUCAAAUAAAUGUGAAAGGUCGUGAUACUCUUACAAUAAUAUUACUUAUGUCCUCUAUCUCACUUCA